RNAcentral lists this ribosomal RNA (446 nucleotides) under uncultured bacterium. Its description in RNAcentral is "partial 16S ribosomal RNA". It matches the Rfam family "Bacterial small subunit ribosomal RNA", at positions 354 to 796 of the family's 1533-position model. The record is from RNAcentral.
GUGAGGAAUAUUGCGCAAUGGACGAAAGUCUGACGCAGCCAUGCCGCGUGAAGGAUUGACGGCCCUAUGGGUUGUAAACUUCUUUUGUAUAGGAAUAAACCCUCGUUCGUGAACGAGGCUGAAGGUACUAUAAGAAUAAGCACCGGCUAACUCCGUGCCAGCAGCCGCGGUAAUACGGAGGGUGCAAGCGUUAUCCGGAUUUAUUGGGUUUAAAGGGUCCGUAGGCGGAUCGUUAAGUCAGUGGUGAAAUCCUACCGCUCAACGGUAGAACUGCCAUUGAUACUGGCGAUCUUGAGUAUGUAUGAAGUUGGCGGAAUGUGUGGUGUAGCGGUGAAAUGCUUAGAUAUCACACAGAACACCGAUUGCGAAGGCAGCUGACUAAUACACAACUGACGCUGAGGGACGAAAGUGUGGGGAUCAAACAGGAUUAGAUACCCUUGUAGUCC